AGAGUUUGAUCCUGGCUCAGGAUUAACGCUGGCGGUAUGCCUAACACAUGCAAGUCGAACGGAAAUACUAAUUAAGAGAAUCUCACACUAGUGAGAGGUUCUCACGAGUAGUAUUUAGUGGCGGACGGGUGAGUAACACGUUGGAACCUGCCCCGAAGUGGGGAAUAACUGCUCGAAAGAGUAGCUAAUACCCCAUAGUAUCCGGUUUAUCCGGAUUAAAGAUUUAUCGCUUCGGGAGGGGCCUGCGUCUGAUUAGCUAGUUGGUGAGGUAAAAGCUCACCAAGGCGACGAUCAGUAGCUGGUUCGAGAGGAUGACCAGCCACACUGGGACUGAGAUACGGCCCAGACUCCUACGGGAGGCAGCAGUGAGGAAUCUUCCACAAUGGGCGCAAGCCUGAUGGAGCAAUACCGCGUGCAGGAAGACGCUUUUCGGAGUGUAAACUGCUUUUGUCGUCGAAGAUUAUGACUGUAGACGAAGAAUAAGGACCGGCUAACUACGUG
Molecule: ribosomal RNA, 501 nt
Filed under: uncultured bacterium
Lineage: Bacteria
Description: bacterial SSU rRNA
Rfam family: Bacterial small subunit ribosomal RNA
Source: RNAcentral